This is a long non-coding RNA of Octopus sinensis (East Asian common octopus), 1155 nucleotides long. RefSeq lists it as uncharacterized. Lineage: Eukaryota; Metazoa; Mollusca; Cephalopoda; Octopoda; Octopodidae. The transcript is spliced from 3 exons. The record is from RefSeq and is a predicted model, not a curated record.
AGCCAUGCUGGGACACCGCCUUGAAGGGUAUUUAGUCGAACGGAUUGACCUCAUUACUUUUCUCUAAAGACAGACAUAAGGCCAGCAUUUUCGAGUGGAAGGGGCAAUCGAUUACAUCAACCCCAGUAAUUGACUGGUAAUUUACUUCAUCGACCUAAAAAGGAUGACCGUGGCAAGAUGUAAUUUCAUAACGUAAAGACUUGGAAGAAAUAAAAGUGUCACCAGGAGAUUGAUGACGCAAGUGACAACAAGAUUCCAAUAAUAUAAAACUUCGAGACACCGCAGCAGCAAUAUGGCAACAGUGAAAGAGAAGAAAGCAAACAUAAAGGAAGGAGAUAAACUUUGCCGAACGAAACUUCUCUGCAAUGUUAUAAAUGAAAAGUGAAAUAUUUACCGUGUGUCUGAAGCAGAAAUUAGAAAAUAAUUAAGCAGAAUUAGCUCCAAGCAGCAUGAAACAGAUUUCUGAAGGGAGACAGACAGACUGGAACUUUUAAAUUGUCCCAAGAUACUAAAACAAUGAGAAUAAGUAAGUUAAUCACGAUGCCAUAAGGGUAAACUUGCGUUACUUUCGAGAUAGAUUUGAAGAACAAGUCUUGAAAUGGAGGCGUGGUGAGAAUGAACUGAGGAAUCUAUAUUAAUAAUUAAUGAACGGUUUAACCCCCCACUUUGUAAGAGAUCAUAUAGCCGAAUAAGUUUGAGCUAUUUAGCAUGUUAGUCGUGAACCAUGAAUUUGUCAGAAAUACAAAUGUCAGAAAUAUAGAGCAUCGCAUUUUCUCACUAUCUAGCAUUUAGAAAGUGACUGCAAUUCAACGUUCUAACAAGGAAUGAUUUUACACGCAUUCACCAAACGUUACAGAAAUUGGGAUGAAACAUUACGUCUAUGAUCAUCUCUUGAUCUUCAUGAAACGAUUGACUUUUGAUCGUGCAUGGUACAGUAUGGUUCCCAACUUAUCGAAUUUACAGCCCACAGCCCAUUUGUAAUAACAACGUUAUGUUUAAAUAGCUAAUGAACGACAUACAGUUUUAUUUCUACAUUUUUUCUAUAAAUAAGAGAUCUUCUGCACAAAUUGAUAAUGUUGUCUGAUAUAGUUUCAAAUUCGGCUCCUCAUGGAGGUGGUAUUGUUCUAUAUUUGACAAAGUAAACAUGCUAAUGAC